GAAAAGUGGAAGAGGAGACACAGCAGCUCAUUCUUUCCCAGUAGCCGUUAGACUGAUUGCGGAGGGGAAGGUCAAAAGAGAAGUUCACAACUAUGAUACCAGCUCUAGAGGCGAAAGAACAACUGAGAGAGAACUAUCCAAGAAGUGUUUGGAUCCCGAAGCACAAAGGUAGACUUACAAAGGAUGAAAUUGAUCUCUACUACUAAGUGGAUCCAUCUUCAAGAGAGGGCGUUCAGAACACCCGGAAAGAUAAGAAAGGU
Molecule: long non-coding RNA, 260 nt
Filed under: Homo sapiens (human)
Lineage: Eukaryota; Metazoa; Chordata; Mammalia; Primates; Hominidae
Description: non-protein coding lnc-NDEL1-1:1
Source: RNAcentral